Molecule: ribosomal RNA, 899 nt
Filed under: uncultured bacterium
Lineage: Bacteria
Description: bacterial SSU rRNA
Rfam family: Bacterial small subunit ribosomal RNA
Source: RNAcentral
CUCAGGACGAACGCUGGCGGCGUGCCUAACACAUGCAAGUCGAGCGGAGACAGUGAGUAGCUUGCUACGAGCUGUUUUAGCGGCGGACGGGUGAGUAACGCGUGAGCAACCUUUCCCAGACAGGGGAAUAACACACCGAAAGGUGUACUAAUACCGCAUAAGACCACGGGAUCACAUGGUUCUGGGGUAAAAGAUUUAUCGGUUUGGGGUGGGCUCGCGUCCGAUUAGGUAGUUGGUGAGGUAACGGCCCACCAAGCCGACGAUCGGUAGCCGACCUGAGAGGGUGAUCGGCCACAUUGGGACUGAGACACGGCCCAAACUCCUACGGGAGGCAGCAGUGGGGAAUAUUGGGCAAUGGAGGAAACUCUGACCCAGCAACGCCGCGUGGAGGAAGAAGGUUUUCGGAUCGUAAACUCCUGUCCUUGGAGACGAGUAGAAGACGGUAUCCAAGGAGGAAGCCCCGGCUAACUACGUGCCAGCAGCCGCGGUAAUACGUAGGGGGCAAGCGUUGUCCGGAAUAAUUGGGCGUAAAGGGCGCGUAGGCGGCUCGGUAAGUCUGGAGUGAAAGUCCUGCUUUUAAGGUGGGAAUUGCUUUGGAUACUGUCGGGCUUGAGUGCAGGAGAGGUUAGUGGAAUUCCCAGUGUAGCGGUGAAAUGCGUAGAGAUUGGGAGGAACACCAGUGGCGAAGGCGACUAACUGGACUGUAACUGACGCUGAGGCGCGAAAGUGUGGGGAGCAAACAGGGUUAGAUACCCUGGUAGUCCACACUGUAAACGAUGAAUGCUAGGUGUAGGGGGUAUCGACCCCUUCUGUGCCGCAGUCAACACAAUAAGCAUUCCGCCUGGGGAGUACGGCCGCAAGGUUGAAACUCAAAGGAAUUGACGGAAGGGCGAAUUCUG